This 1493-nucleotide ribosomal RNA is filed under the name metagenome. RNAcentral's name for it is "bacterial SSU rRNA". It matches the Rfam family "Bacterial small subunit ribosomal RNA". The record is from RNAcentral.
AGAGUUUGAUCAUGGCUCAGAUUGAACGCUGGCGGCGGGCUUAACACAUGCAAGUCGAGCGGUAGCAGGCCUUCGGGUGCUGACGAGCGGCGGACGGGUGAGGAAUGCAUAGGAAUCUGCCUAUUAGUGGGGGAUAACACGGGGAAACUCGUGCUAAUACCGCAUACGUCCUACGGGAGAAAGCGGGGGAUCUUCGGACCUCGCGCUAAUAGAUGAGCCUAUGCCGGAUUAGCUAGUUGGUAGGGUAAAGGCCUACCAAGGCGACGAUCCGUAGCUGGUCUGAGAGGAUGAUCAGCCACACUGGGACUGAGACACGGCCCAGACUCCUACGGGAGGCAGCAGUGGGGAAUAUUGGACAAUGGGCGCAAGCCUGAUCCAGCCAUGCCGCGUGUGUGAAGAAGGCCUUCGGGUUGUAAAGCACUUUAAGUGGGGAGGAAGGUUAGUGGUUUAAUACGCUACUAAAUUGACGUUACCCACAGAAUAAGCACCGGCUAACUCUGUGCCAGCAGCCGCGGUAAUACAGAGGGUGCAAGCGUUAAUCGGAAUUACUGGGCGUAAAGCGCGCGUAGGUGGUUUUGUAAGUUGAAUGUGAAAUCCCCGGGCUUAACCUGGGAAUGACAUCCAAAACUGCACGACUAGAGUAUGGGAGAGGGAGGUAGAAUUCCAGGUGUAGCGGUGAAAUGCGUAGAGAUCUGGAGGAAUACCGGUGGCGAAGGCGGCCUCCUGGCCUAAUACUGACACUGAGGUGCGAAAGCGUGGGUAGCAAACAGGAUUAGAUACCCUGGUAGUCCACGCCGUAAACGAUGAGAACUAGCCGUUGGUCUCCUUGAGAGGUUAGUGGCGCAGCUAACGCGAUAAGUUCUCCGCCUGGGGAGUACGGCCGCAAGGUUAAAACUCAAAUGAAUUGACGAGGGCCCGCACAAGCGGUGGAGCAUGUGGUUUAAUUCGACGCAACGCGAAGAACCUUACCUGGUCUUGACAUCCACGGAAUCCUGCAGAGAUGUGGGGGUGCCUUCGGGAACCGUGAGACAGGUGCUGCAUGGCUGUCGUCAGCUCGUGUUGUGAAAUGUUGGGUUAAGUCCCGUAACGAGCGCAACCCUUGUCCUUAGUUGCCAGCGAGUAAUGUCGGGAACUCUAAGGAGACUGCCGGUGACAAACCGGAGGAAGGUGGGGACGACGUCAAGUCAUCAUGGCCCUUACGACCAGGGCUACACACGUGCUACAAUGGCCGGUACAGAGGGUUGCCAAGCCGCGAGGUGGAGCCAAUCCCGAAAAGCCGGUCGUAGUCCGGAUUGCAGUCUGCAACUCGACUGCAUGAAGUCGGAAUCGCUAGUAAUCGCAGAUCAGAAUGCUGCGGUGAAUACGUUCCCGGGCCUUGUACACACCGCCCGUCACACCAUGGGAGUGGGUUGCACCAGAAGUAGUUAGCUUAACCGCAAGGGGAGCGAUUACCACGGUGUGAUUCAUGACUGGGGUGAAGUCGUAACAAGGUA